AUGAAACUUCAGUCGGCUCGCUUUCAGUGCUGGUGGUGACACAUGUGCACGUCAGCAAGUCGCAAAAUCCACAAACCCGUGCAUCCUAGGACUCCGAGUGGGCCCUUUGGUUGGCCAAAGGGACCCUUGGAGUAUUUUUUACACAACCAUGAAUGUAAUGGAAUGUCAUCUGUGCAAUAUGUACAACCAAAA
This 192-nucleotide unclassified non-coding RNA is filed under the name uncultured Agaricomycetes. RNAcentral's name for it is "sequence contains ITS1". Lineage: Eukaryota; Fungi; Basidiomycota; Agaricomycetes. The record is from RNAcentral.